RNAcentral lists this ribosomal RNA (215 nucleotides) under uncultured bacterium. RNAcentral's name for it is "partial 16S ribosomal RNA". It matches the Rfam family "Bacterial small subunit ribosomal RNA", at positions 524 to 736 of the family's 1533-position model. The record is from RNAcentral.
UACAGAGGGUGCGAGCGUUAAUCGGAAUUACUGGGCGUAAAGCGUGCGUAGACGGCUAUCUAAGUCGGGUGUGAAAGCCCCGGGCUCAACCUGGGAAUUGCAUUCGAGACUGAAUAGCUAGGGUGCGGUAGAGGGAAGCGGAAUUUCCGGUGUAGCGGUGAAAUGCGUAGAUAAUCGGAAGGAACAUCAGUGGCGAAAGCGGACUUCCUGGACCA